AGGGUACCGUCAGGCCUAACGUGUAUUAUACGUUAGGAGGUUNUUCCCCUCUGACAGAGCUUUACGACCCAAGAGCCUUCAUCACUCACGCGGUAUUGCUGCGUCAGGCUUUCGCCCAUUGCGUAAAAUUCCC
This 133-nucleotide ribosomal RNA is filed under the name uncultured bacterium. RNAcentral describes it as "partial 16S ribosomal RNA". The record is from RNAcentral.